CCUACGGGGGGCAGCAGUGAGGAAUAUUGGUCAAUGGCCGGAAGGCUGAACCAGCCAUGCCGCGUGAAGGUCAGUGCCCUAUGGGCGUUAAACUUCUUUUGUGCGGGAGCAAUAAUGGUCACGGGGGGCCAGACGAGAGUACCGUACGAAUAAGCAGCGGCGAACUCCGUGCCAGCAGCCGCGGUAAGACGGGGGCUGCAAGCGUUCUCCUGAUUUCUUGGGGUUCAAGGGGGCGUCGGCGGGGAGGUAAGUCAGCGGUGAAAUGCCCCCGCUCAACGGGGUGAAGUGCCAUUGAUACUGCCUUGCUGGACUGCGGGUGCCGUGGGCGGAAUGUGUGGUGUAGCGGUGAAAUGCAUAGAUAUCCCACAGAACACCGAUUUCGAAGGCAUCUCACGACUCCGCGCUUGCCGCUGAUGCACGAAAGCGUGGGUAUCACACAGGAUUAGAUACCCCAGUAGUC
RNAcentral lists this ribosomal RNA (460 nucleotides) under uncultured bacterium. RNAcentral's name for it is "partial 16S ribosomal RNA". It matches the Rfam family "Bacterial small subunit ribosomal RNA", at positions 338 to 795 of the family's 1533-position model. The record is from RNAcentral.